AACGUAGGACGCAAGCGUUAUCCGGAGUUACUGGGCGUAAAGCGCGGGCAGGCGGCUCGAAACGUCUGAUGUGAAAUCUCCUCGCUCAACGGGGAGAGGCCAUUGGAAACGGUCGAGCUGGAGGGCAGUAGAGGUAGGCGGAAUUCCGGGUGGAGUGGUGAAAUGCGUAGAGAUCUGGAGGAACACCAGAGGCGAAGGCGGCCUACUGGGCUGCACCUGACGCUGAGCCGCGAAAGCCAGGGGAGCGAACGGG
Molecule: ribosomal RNA, 253 nt
Filed under: uncultured bacterium
Lineage: Bacteria
Description: partial 16S ribosomal RNA
Rfam family: Bacterial small subunit ribosomal RNA
Source: RNAcentral